GGGGGCGUCGACUACGGGAAGGUCACCGGCCUUUCACAUCGGAAGCGGGAGCUCGAAUCUCCUCGCCCCCACCA
RNAcentral lists this transfer RNA (74 nucleotides) under Candidatus Yanofskyibacteriota bacterium. RNAcentral describes it as "tRNA-Glu". It matches the Rfam family "tRNA". From Rfam's summary of the family: Transfer RNA (tRNA) molecules are approximately 80 nucleotides in length. Their secondary structure includes four short double-helical elements and three loops (D, anti-codon, and T loops). Lineage: Bacteria; Candidatus Yanofskyibacteriota. The record is from RNAcentral.